UGCCAUGAUGGUGUAAUUUGCGUCUGACUCUGUGGACAGUGACGGUAGCCUGCCGUCAUUAAGCUGCCACAAGAGGUUGAUGUACAUGUUGUUCUGAGCA
This is a small nucleolar RNA of Osmerus eperlanus (European smelt), 100 nucleotides long. RefSeq annotates it as small nucleolar RNA SNORD16. The record is from RefSeq and is a predicted model, not a curated record. Lineage: Eukaryota; Metazoa; Chordata; Actinopteri; Osmeriformes; Osmeridae. The transcript has a single exon.